RNAcentral lists this ribosomal RNA (1170 nucleotides) under Escherichia coli. Its description in RNAcentral is "partial 23S ribosomal RNA". It matches the Rfam family "Bacterial large subunit ribosomal RNA", at positions 711 to 1864 of the family's 2925-position model. Lineage: Bacteria; Pseudomonadati; Pseudomonadota; Gammaproteobacteria; Enterobacterales; Enterobacteriaceae. The record is from RNAcentral.
AGACCCGAAACCCGGUGAUCUAGCCAUGGGCAGGUUGAAGGUUGGGUAACACUAACUGGAGGACCGAACCGACUAAUGUUGAAAAAUUAGCGGAUGACUUGUGGCUGGGGGUGAAAGGCCAAUCAAACCGGGAGAUAGCUGGUUCUCCCCGAAAGCUAUUUAGGUAGCGCCUCGUGAAUUCAUCUCCGGGGGUAGAGCACUGUUUCGGCAAGGGGGUCAUCCCGACUUACCAACCCGAUGCAAACUGCGAAUACCGGAGAAUGUUAUCACGGGAGACACACGGCGGGUGCUAACGUCCGUCGUGAAGAGGGAAACAACCCAGACCGCCAGCUAAGGUCCCAAAGUCAUGGUUAAGUGGGAAACGAUGUGGGAAGGCCCAGACAGCCAGGAUGUUGGCUUAGAAGCAGCCAUCAUUUAAAGAAAGCGUAAUAGCUCACUGGUCGAGUCGGCCUGCGCGGAAGAUGUAACGGGGCUAAACCAUGCACCGAAGCUGCGGCAGCGACACUGUGUGUUGUUGGGUAGGGGAGCGUUCUGUAAGCCUGUGAAGGUGUGCUGUGAGGCAUGCUGGAGGUAUCAGAAGUGCGAAUGCUGACAUAAGUAACGAUAAAGCGGGUGAAAAGCCCGCUCGCCGGAAGACCAAGGGUUCCUGUCCAACGUUAAUCGGGGCAGGGUGAGUCGACCCCUAAGGCGAGGCCGAAAGGCGUAGUCGAUGGGAAACAGGUUAAUAUUCCUGUACUUGGUGUUACUGCGAAGGGGGGACGGAGAAGGCUAUGUUGGCCGGGCGACGGUUGUCCCGGUUUAAGCGUGUAGGCUGGUUUUCCAGGCAAAUCCGGAAAAUCAAGGCUGAGGCGUGAUGACGAGGCACUACGGUGCUGAAGCAACAAAUGCCCUGCUUCCAGGAAAAGCCUCUAAGCAUCAGGUAACAUCAAAUCGUACCCCAAACCGACACAGGUGGUCAGGUAGAGAAUACCAAGGCGCUUGAGAGAACUCGGGUGAAGGAACUAGGCAAAAUGGUGCCGUAACUUCGGGAGAAGGCACGCUGAUAUGUAGGUGAAGUCCCUCGCGGAUGGAGCUGAAAUCAGUCGAAGAUACCAGCUGGCUGCAACUGUUUAUUAAAAACACAGCACUGUGCAAACACGAAAGUGGACGUAUACGGUGUGACGCCUGCCC